GGUCUCCUACGGGGCGCAGCAGUAGGGAAUCUUCCACAAUGGGCGAAAGCCUGAUGGAGCAACGCCGCGUGGGUGAAGAAGGUCUUCGGAUCGUAAAACCCUGUUGUUAGAGAAGAAAGUGCGUGAGAGUAACUGUUCACGUUUCGACGGUAUCUAACCAGAAAGCCACGGCUAACUACGUGCCAGCAGCCGCGGUAAUACGUAGGUGGCAAGCGUUAUCCGGAUUUAUUGGGCGUAAAGGGAACGCAGGCGGCCUUUUCAGUCUGAUUUGAAAGCCUUCGGCUUAACCGGCGUAGUGCAUUGGG
This 305-nucleotide ribosomal RNA is filed under the name uncultured bacterium. Its description in RNAcentral is "bacterial SSU rRNA". It matches the Rfam family "Bacterial small subunit ribosomal RNA", at positions 333 to 630 of the family's 1533-position model. The record is from RNAcentral.